UACAGAGGUCCCAAGCGUUGUUCGGAUUCAUUGGGCGUAAAGGGUGCGUAGGUGGCGCCGUAAGUCGGGUGUGAAAUUUCGGAGCUUAACUCCGAAACUGCAUUCGAUACUGCCUUGCUCGAGUACUGGAGAGGAGACUGGAAUUUACGGUGUAGCAGUGAAAUGCGUAGAUAUCGUAAGGAAGACCAGUGGCGAAGGCGAGUCUCUGGACAGUUACUGACGCUGAGGCACGAAGGCCAGGGGAGCAAACGGG
This 253-nucleotide ribosomal RNA is filed under the name uncultured bacterium. Its description in RNAcentral is "partial 16S ribosomal RNA". It matches the Rfam family "Bacterial small subunit ribosomal RNA", at positions 524 to 776 of the family's 1533-position model. The record is from RNAcentral.